GAUGAACGCUGGCGGCGUGCCUAAUACAUGCAAGUCGAGCGAAUGGAUUAAGAGCUUGCUCUUAUGAAGUUAGCGGCGGACGGGUGAGUAACACGUGGGUAACCUGCCCAUAAGACUGGGAUAACUCCGGGAAACCGGGGCUAAUACCGGAUAACAUUUUGAACCGCAUGGUUCGAAAUUGAAAGGCGGCUUCGGCUGUCACUUAUGGAUGGACCCGCGUCGCAUUAGCUAGUUGGUGAGGUAACGGCUCACCAAGGCAACGAUGCGUAGCCGAGCUGAGAGGGUGAUCGGCCACACUGGGACUGAGACACGGCCCAGACUCCUACGGGAGGCAGCAGUAGGGAAUCUUCCGCAAUGGACGAAAGUCUGACGGAGCAACGCCGCGUGAGUGAUGAAGGCUUUCGGGUCGUAAAACUCUGUUGUUAGGGAAGAACAAGUGCUAGUUGAAUAAGCUGGCAUCUUGACGGUACCUAACCAGAAAGCCACGGCUAACUACGUGCCAGCAGCCGCCGUAA
This 515-nucleotide ribosomal RNA is filed under the name uncultured bacterium. RNAcentral describes it as "partial 16S ribosomal RNA". It matches the Rfam family "Bacterial small subunit ribosomal RNA", at positions 28 to 523 of the family's 1533-position model. The record is from RNAcentral.